This 253-nucleotide ribosomal RNA is filed under the name uncultured bacterium. RNAcentral's name for it is "partial 16S ribosomal RNA". It matches the Rfam family "Bacterial small subunit ribosomal RNA", at positions 524 to 776 of the family's 1533-position model. The record is from RNAcentral.
UACAGAGGGUGCGAGCGUUGUCCGGAAUCACUGGGCGUAAAGGGCGCGUAGGCGGCUUGAUAAGCGUGCGGUGAAAGCCCGGGGCUCAACCCCGGGUCGGCCGUGCGAACUGUCGAGCUGGAGCACUGUAGAGGCAGGUGGAAUUUCGGGUGUAGCGGUGGAAUGCGUAGAGAUCCGGAAGAACACCGGUGGCGAAGGCGGCCUGCUGGGCAGUGGCUGACGCUGAGGCGCGACAGCGUGGGGAGCAAACAGG